AGAGUUUGAUCCUGGCUCAGGACGAACGCUGGCGGCGUGCCUAAUACAUGCAAGUCGAGCGAGCUGAAUUCAAAGAUUCCUUCGGGAUGAUUUGUUGGACGCUAGCGGCGGAUGGGUGAGUAACACGUGGGCAAUCUGCCCUAAAGACUGGGAUACCACUUGGAAACAGGUGCUAAUACCGGAUAACAACAUGAAUCGCAUGAUUCAAGUUUGAAAGGCGGCGCAAGCUGUCACUUUAGGAUGAGCCCGCGGCGCAUUAGCUAGUUGGUGGGGUAAAGGCCUACCAAGGCAAUGAUGCGUAGCCGAGUUGAGAGACUGAUCGGCCACAUUGGGACUGAGACACGGCCCAAACUCCUACGGGAGGCAGCAGUAGGGAAUCUUCCACAAUGGACGCAAGUCUGAUGGAGCAACGCCGCGUGAGUGAAGAAGGUUUUCGGAUCGUAAAGCUCUGUUGUUGGUGAAGAAGGAUAGAGGCAGUAACUGGUCUCUAUUUGACGGUAAUCAACCAGAAAGUCACGGCUAACUACGUGCCAGCAGCCGCGGUAAUACGUAGGUGGCAAGCGUUGUCCGGAUUUAUUGGGCGUAAAGCGAGCGCAGGCGGAAUGAUAAGUCUGAUGUGAAAGCCCACGGCUCAACCGUGGAACUGCAUCGGAACUGUCAUUCUUGAGUGCAGAAGAGGAGAGUGGAACUCCAUGUGUAGCGGUGGAAUGCGUAGAUAUAUGGAAGAACACCAGUGGCGAAAGCGGCUCUCUGGUCUGCAACUGACGCUGAGCUCGAAAGCAUGGGUAGCGAACAGGAUUAGAUACCCUGGUAGUCCAUGC
RNAcentral lists this ribosomal RNA (821 nucleotides) under Lactobacillus sp. AB015. RNAcentral's name for it is "bacterial SSU rRNA". It matches the Rfam family "Bacterial small subunit ribosomal RNA", at positions 8 to 800 of the family's 1533-position model. Lineage: Bacteria; Bacillati; Bacillota; Bacilli; Lactobacillales; Lactobacillaceae. The record is from RNAcentral.